GUGUUUGUGUGAUACUGGAAGAGAGAAAGGGGUGAAGUGGACUGGGGAAGAUGGAAGGGAGGUUGUGCAGGAGAGAGAAACAGCAUGCAUGCGGUAGGAGGAGGGAGGAGGAGAGAGAGAGGUGUAUGAAUCUUUUCAUUCCAUUAUUUAGUCUCCUCUCCAUCUUAGUUACAGAUACCGCGCCAUGAGUUGACUGGUUGGGAGGUAUAUCCACCUAGAAAUCGGUAGGGGAGAGAAAUCUCAUGAGGCUGCGGCAUAAUCUCGAGGGAUGAACAGCUGGUUAUGGGAAGAAAAUAUAUCAAAGUAAAACUCUACCUAUAUACA
This 324-nucleotide long non-coding RNA is filed under the name Phoenix dactylifera (date palm). Its description in RNAcentral is "long non-coding RNA (PDAC_LNC017431)". Lineage: Eukaryota; Viridiplantae; Streptophyta; Magnoliopsida; Arecales; Arecaceae. The record is from RNAcentral.